Molecule: ribosomal RNA, 415 nt
Filed under: uncultured bacterium
Lineage: Bacteria
Description: bacterial SSU rRNA
Rfam family: Bacterial small subunit ribosomal RNA
Source: RNAcentral
GUAUGCCUAACACAUGCAAGUCGUACGAGAGUUUUUAACUCAAGUGGCGGACGGGUGAGUAACACGUGAGAAUUUGCCUUUAGGAGAAGAACAACAAUUAGAAAUGAUUGCUAAAACUUCAUAUGCUUUCGAGUGAAAUAGAUUUAUCUGCCUAAAGAGAAGCUCGCGGCUGAUUAGCUUGUUGGUGAGGUAAUGGCUUACCAAGGCGACGAUCAGUAUCUGGUUUGAGAGGACGAUCAGACACACUGGAACUGAGACACGGUCCAGACUCCUACGGGAGGCAGCAGUGGGGAAUUUUCCGCAAUGGGCGAAAGCCUGACGGAGCAAUACCGCGUGAGGGAAGACGGCCUAUGGGUUGUAAACCUCUUUUUUCAGGGAGGAAUAACUGACGUGUACCUGAAGAAUAAGCAUCGGC